This 253-nucleotide ribosomal RNA is filed under the name uncultured bacterium. RNAcentral's name for it is "partial 16S ribosomal RNA". It matches the Rfam family "Bacterial small subunit ribosomal RNA", at positions 524 to 776 of the family's 1533-position model. The record is from RNAcentral.
UACGUAGGGUCCGAGCGUUGUCCGGAAUUAUUGGGCGUAAAGGGCUCGUAGGCGGUCUGUUGCGUCGGGAGUGAAAACUUACAGCUUAACUGUGAGCGUGCCUUCGAUACGGGCAGACUUGAGGCAUUCAGGGGAGAACGGAAUUCCUGGUGUAGCGGUGAAAUGCGCAGAUAUCAGGAGGAACACCGGUGGCGAAGGCGGUUCUCUGGGAAUGUCCUGACGCUGAGGAGCGAAAGUGUGGGGAGCGAACAGG